UACGUAGGGCGCAAGCGUUGUCCGGAAUUAUUGGGCGUAAAGAGCUCGUAGGCGGCUUGUCACGUCGAUUGUGAAAGCCCGGGGCUUAACUCCGGGUCUGCAGUCGAUACGGGCUAGCUAGAGUGUGGUAGGGGAGAUCGGAAUUCCUGGUGUAGCGGUGAAAUGCGCAGAUAUCGGGAGGAACACCGGUGGCGAAGGCGGCGCUCUGGACCGAGACUGACGCUGAGGCGCGAAAGCGUGGGGAGCAAACAGG
RNAcentral lists this ribosomal RNA (253 nucleotides) under uncultured bacterium. RNAcentral's name for it is "partial 16S ribosomal RNA". It matches the Rfam family "Bacterial small subunit ribosomal RNA", at positions 524 to 776 of the family's 1533-position model. The record is from RNAcentral.